RNAcentral lists this ribosomal RNA (450 nucleotides) under uncultured bacterium. RNAcentral describes it as "partial 16S ribosomal RNA". It matches the Rfam family "Bacterial small subunit ribosomal RNA", at positions 354 to 796 of the family's 1533-position model. The record is from RNAcentral.
GUGGGGAAUUUUGGACAAUGGGCGCAAGCCUGAUCCAGCAAUGCCGCGUGCAGGAAGAAGGCCUUCGGGUUGUAAACUGCUUUUGUACGGAACGAAACGGUCCGGGUUAAUACCCUGGGCUAAUGACGGUACCGUAAGAAUAAGCACCGGCUAACUACGUGCCAGCAGCCGCGGUAAUACGUAGGGUGCAAGCGUUAAUCGGAAUUACUGGGCGUAAAGCGUGCGCAGGCGGUUUUGUAAGACAGGCGUGAAAUCCCCGGGCUCAACCUGGGGAUUGCGCUUGUGACUGCAAGGCUGGAGUGCGGCAGAGAGGGAUGGAAUUCCGCGUGUAGCAGUGAAAUGCGUAGAUAUGCGGAGGAACACCGAUGGCGAAGGCAAUCCCCUGGGCCUGCACUGACGCUCAUGCACGAAAGCGUGGGGAGCAAACAGGAUUAGAAACCCUUGUAGUCC